UUUGAGAUUAUUAUGGAGCAUUCGGAGUACGGUUUGAUGCAUGAUUCUAGAGGAUUGUUUGGGUUAUGUCAGAUGGACCUCGAUCUUUAGUAUUGAUCAUUUGAGGGCUUGAUAGCACGAUGUUUGAGACCGUGGUCGCAGGAUGGGUGGCCUUCAUUUCGGUUAGCUCACACCUUAUUACCUUUAUUGACAUCUAGACCAUUGCUAGCCCUUUGAGCCUCGCAUGGGCAUCAUAACCUUUUAUUUCUUAUAGCCUUGCUCACCUUCUACACCGGGAUAGGGGCCCUUCAGUGUAUGCAUGCAUUGUUUAGGAGUUUCAUGAGCCUUGGACCUAGGGGCGCAUCUUUCUCAUUAUCUUUUCCUAUCAUUGCAUUUCGUCAUAUCUCGUUGGUUCUUCAUCCUCUUCUUUAUUAUAUCUAUCGUUUGUUCUGCUUCAUCUUCUCCCACCCCGAGUGGUGAUCAUCCUCAGUUCAUUACAUGGAGGGUAGUCAUGUCAUUUUCCACUAUCUAUCCUACGGACGUUGAUCCAGGGAUCUUUGGCUUGAGAGGGUCACAUCAUUAAAGAGAGUUUGUGAUAUAUUGAUAUUUGAGGGCUGUUUAUUCAUUUUUUUAUCCCGUCUUUGGGUCUUUCUUGGUUUGCUUUAGAGCAUGUAUAUUUGUAUAUAUGUAAAAAAAAUAAAAAAUAAAAUAAAAUAAAAUAAAAUAAAAAAUGAAAAGAACAAAAAAGAAAAGAAAAAUAAAAGAGGCACAUGUGUGUAUUAUUCUCUAUCAUUGAGUAUGUGUAUAUUAGUGUUCGAGGGGUCGCUUUGUUGGGACAUUUCAUUCUUCGUAUUCAUUUUGUUGUAUGUUUUGAGAGUGAGAUGAGUGGCCUUCUCUUAGGAGCUCUGGGUCAUUGUCCAUUCCAUCAUUGUGUUCGUUAUUGACGUGACCUCCUUUCAUAUUUGAUUUGAGCAGAUCAUCACUUGUUCUCGUAUUCUAUGCUUCAUCAUCAUCCUCGUUUCACUUCUAUUUCAUCAUUUUCAUUCCACCCCUUAUUCCGUUCUUACAGUGACCUCG
RNAcentral lists this long non-coding RNA (1056 nucleotides) under Vitis vinifera (wine grape). RNAcentral's name for it is "long non-coding RNA (VVIN_LNC007684)". The record is from RNAcentral. Lineage: Eukaryota; Viridiplantae; Streptophyta; Magnoliopsida; Vitales; Vitaceae.